RNAcentral lists this ribosomal RNA (465 nucleotides) under Vreelandella stevensii. Its description in RNAcentral is "partial 16S ribosomal RNA". It matches the Rfam family "Bacterial small subunit ribosomal RNA", at positions 338 to 795 of the family's 1533-position model. The record is from RNAcentral. Lineage: Bacteria; Pseudomonadati; Pseudomonadota; Gammaproteobacteria; Oceanospirillales; Halomonadaceae.
CCUACGGGGAGCAGCAGUGGGGAAUAUUGGACAAUGGGCGAAAGCCUGAUCCAGCCAUGCCGCGUGUGUGAAGAAGGCCUUCGGGUUGUAAAGCACUUUCAGUGGGGAAGAAAGCCUUGGGGCUAAUACCCUCGAGGAAGGACAUCACCCACAGAAGAAGCACCGGCUAACUCCGUGCCAGCAGCCGCGGUAAUACGGAGGGUGCGAGCGUUAAUCGGAAUUACUGGGCGUAAAGCGCGCGUAGGCGGUCUGAUAAGCCGGUUGUGAAAGCCCCGGGCUCAACCUGGGAACGGCAUCCGGAACUGUCAGGCUAGAGUGCAGGAGAGGAAGGUAGAAUUCCCGGUGUAGCGGUGAAAUGCGUAGAGAUCGGGAGGAAUACCAGUGGCGAAGGCGGCCUUCUGGACUGACACUGACGCUGAGGUGCGAAAGCGUGGGUAGCAAACAGGAUUAGAUACCCCAGUAAUC